GUUUCAGUAAGUUUGUGAGAGGCAGAUAGGUAGGUAAAUCUGCAAUUCUAAGAUGCAAACACUUUGACCUCAGUUUACACGAGUGGGACAGAAGCAUUUAAAAAUUAAACCUCGCUAAUCAAUGAGGUCAGAUAUGCAUAUAUGUAGCAUAUGUUAGAUGAGAGGAGGUGUUUGAGUAUUCAGUUUCGGUCAAUACCAAGAUCAAGGCAGAAAAGGGCAAAUCCAACAGAAUAAUCAGGAAUUCCCAUUAAUACAAUAUACAAUACAUCAAGCUUACAUGUGAAGUUCGAAUCUUUGACU
RNAcentral lists this unclassified non-coding RNA (300 nucleotides) under Hevea brasiliensis (rubber tree). The record is from RNAcentral. Lineage: Eukaryota; Viridiplantae; Streptophyta; Magnoliopsida; Malpighiales; Euphorbiaceae.